GCCAUACUGUGGCGGCCGUGGCUGUGACUCUGCUCAUGAUGAUGCUUUAUUAUUGCAGAAGAUUUUACUUCAAACGUGAUGAUCGCCGGAGGACCUACAUGAAUUCAUUCUAUGAUGCGGAGUCCAGGGACACCAUAUACAAGGCAGAUGAGCCUCCUGGAAGCGCUACAGUGGACAGUGUCCCUCGAGAUCCGAACCCUCAGGAUCAGAUGAGACAAGGAGCUGCUGAUGCAGAUGGAGAAAAUCUUAUGACUU
Scleropages formosus (Asian bonytongue) is the source of this 255-nucleotide long non-coding RNA. RefSeq lists it as uncharacterized. The transcript is spliced from 4 exons. NCBI's taxonomy places the organism in Eukaryota, Metazoa, Chordata, Actinopteri, Osteoglossiformes, Osteoglossidae. The record is from RefSeq and is a predicted model, not a curated record.